GACGAACGCUGGCGGCGUGCUUAACACAUGCAAGUCGAGCGGUAAGGCCCUUUCGGGGGUACACGAGCGGCGAACGGGUGAGUAACACGUGGGUGACCUGCCCUCAGCUCUGGGAUAAGCCUGGGAAACCGGGUCUAAUACUGGAUAUGACUCCAUGACGCAUGUUGUGGGGUGGAAAGCCUUGUGCGGCUGAGAUGGGCCCGNGGCCUAAUCAGCUUGUUGGUGGGGNAUGGCCUACCAAGGCGACGACGGGUAGCCGG
RNAcentral lists this ribosomal RNA (260 nucleotides) under uncultured bacterium. RNAcentral describes it as "partial 16S ribosomal RNA". It matches the Rfam family "Bacterial small subunit ribosomal RNA", at positions 28 to 290 of the family's 1533-position model. The record is from RNAcentral.